CUUGCCUCUCCUCUAGCCCAAUCAUUUACCACCUACAACCUUUAAAAACCCACUACCACACCUAAGUAAAACAUUCUAACCUUCCUAGUAUAGGCGAUAGAAAAGAUCUUUGGCGCAAUAGAGAAUGACCGUACCGUAAGGGAAAGAUGAAAUAACUAAUGAAAACUACAAGCAAAAAACAGUAAAGAUCAACCCUUGUACCUCUUGCAUCAUGAUUUAGCAAGAACAACCAAGCAAAGCGAACUAAAAGUUUGCCUCCCCGAAACCCAGGCGAGCUACCUGUAAGCAGCUAAAAUAGAGCGAACCCGUCCCUGUCGCAAAAGAGUGGGAUGACUUACUGGUAGAGGUGAAAAGCCAACCGAGCUGGGUGAUAGCUGGUUACCUGUUAAACGAAUUUAAGUUCCUCCUUAACUCAUCCCCUAAGGACCUCACCUAACCUCACCCAUGUAGGAGUUAAGAACAAUUCGAUGGGGGUACAGCCCCCUCGAAAAAGAAUACAACCUCCCCCAGCGGAUAAUCUAUCCCCUCCCCCUAUCGUAGGCCUUAAAGCAGCCAUCAACAAAAGAGUGCGUCAAAGCUCCUCUGUAAAAAAUCCACACUCCUAUUUGAUUCCCUCAUCUUAAACAGGUUAGCCUAUGAUAAUAGAAGAAUUAAUGCUAAAAUGAGUAACUUGGAGCCAUCCUCAUCGGCGUAAACUUACAUCAACACAUUAUUAACAGAGCAACUUAUACCCCCACUUUAACAAGAAUACGUAUUUAACUUAAUCUGUUAAGCCAACCCAGGAACGCCCACAUUAAAUGAUUGAAACCCGCAAAAGGAACUCGGCAAACCAAAGACCCGACUGUUUACCAAAAACAUAGCCUUCAGCCAAACACAAGUAUGAAGGUGAUGCCUGCCCAGUGACCCCCAAAGUUUAACGGCCGCGGUAUCCUAACCGUGCGAAGGUAGCGCAAUCAAUUGUCCCAUAAAUUGAGACUUGUAUGAAAGGCUAAACGAGGUCUUAACUGUCUCUUGCAGGCAAUCAGUGAAAUUAGUAUUCCCGUGCAAAAACGAGAAUGUGACCAUAAGACGAGAAGACCCUGUGGAACUUUAAAAUUGCGAUCACCCUUACAUCCAACACCGUCUACCAGACUCACCCACAUUCUACUCUUGAUCGACAUUUUUCGGUUGGGGCGACCUUGGAGAAAAACAAAUCCUCCAAACCCAUAGACCAUCACUCUUCACCAAGAUAUCACCCAUCAAAGUACAAACAGUAACCCAGACCCAAUACAAUUGAUCAAUGGACCAAGCUACCCCAGGGAUAACAGCGCAAUCUCCUCCAAGAGCCCAUAUCGACAAGGAGGUUUACGACCUCGAUGUUGGAUCAGGACAACCUAAUGGUGCAGCCGCUAUUAAGGGUUCGUUUGUUCAACGAUUAAUAGUCCUACGUGAUCUGAGUUCAGACCGGAGUAAUCCAGGUCGGUUUCUAUCUAUGAAUAAACUCUUCCCAGUACGAAAGGACCGGAAAAGUGGGGUCAAUGCUAUAAGAUACACCCCAGCCUUACAGACAAUGAAUGCAACUCAAUUGCUAAAAAGCUUUCCCCCACAUAUAAUUCCUAGAAAAGGAACAG
Molecule: ribosomal RNA, 1610 nt
Filed under: Tetrastes bonasia (hazel grouse)
Lineage: Eukaryota; Metazoa; Chordata; Aves; Galliformes; Phasianidae
Description: 16S ribosomal RNA
Rfam family: Bacterial large subunit ribosomal RNA
Source: RNAcentral